GACGAACGCUGGCGGCGUGCUUAACACAUGCAAGUCGAACGAAGCUGCGAAGCGGAACCCUUCGGGGAGAAGGUUCGUAGACUUAGUGGCGGACGGGUGAGUAACGCGUGAGCAACCUGCCUAUCAGAGGGGGACAACAGUUAGAAACGACUGCUAAUACCGCAUAAGACCACGAAACCGCAUGGUUUUGAGGUCAAAGAUUUAUCGCUGAUAGAUGGGCUCGCGUCCCAUUAGCUAGUUGGUAGGGUAACGGCCUACCAAGGCGACGAUGGGUAGCCGACCUGAGAGGGUGAUCGGCCACAUUGGAACUGAGACACGGUCCAA
Molecule: ribosomal RNA, 324 nt
Filed under: uncultured bacterium
Lineage: Bacteria
Description: bacterial SSU rRNA
Rfam family: Bacterial small subunit ribosomal RNA
Source: RNAcentral